RNAcentral lists this ribosomal RNA (293 nucleotides) under uncultured bacterium. Its description in RNAcentral is "partial 16S ribosomal RNA". It matches the Rfam family "Bacterial small subunit ribosomal RNA", at positions 28 to 324 of the family's 1533-position model. The record is from RNAcentral.
GACGAACGCUGGCGGCGUGCUUAACACAUGCAAGUCGAGCGGUAAGGCCCUUUCGGGGGUACACGAGCGGCGAACGGGUGAGUAACACGUGGGUGACCUGCCCUCAGCUCUGGGAUAAGCCUGGGAAACCGGGUCUAAUACCGGAUAUGACUCCAUGACGCAUGUUGUGGGGUGGAAAGCCUUGUGCGGCUGAGGAUGGGCCCGCGGCCUAUCAGCUUGUUGGUGGGUGAUGGCCCACCAAGGCUAUGACGGUAGCUGGUCUGAGAGGACGACCAGCCACACGGGGACUGAGA